UCUGGUGCACCCCGAGCAUGCACGCAAGGUGCUCGAUGCAUUGAAAGUCACUCGCAACAACCUCCACAACAGCUCAAACAAAACAUGGUCAUGUUAUGGAUCAAAACCAACCUCCUAGACAUCCUGGUUGGGCUGGAUCAUCAACUCCACAAUGCAGGUUCAAAGCCAUGCCAAAUUUGUUCAUGCUCCAGAGUGUUUGAUGAAAUGCCAAGGGCUCCCAAAGAUCUUUGAUGCCCACUAAAAUCUCUAGAUCAGGGUCUCUCUAGGUGUUAGCAAUGGUAGUAAGGUUAGUUCGACAAAUUAUCAAAACUAGCUAAUGCAAAAUUUUGAAGAACAC
Molecule: long non-coding RNA, 337 nt
Filed under: Hordeum vulgare
Lineage: Eukaryota; Viridiplantae; Streptophyta; Magnoliopsida; Poales; Poaceae
Description: long non-coding RNA (HVUL_LNC005013)
Source: RNAcentral